This 315-nucleotide ribosomal RNA is filed under the name uncultured eukaryote. Its description in RNAcentral is "partial 18S ribosomal RNA". It matches the Rfam family "Eukaryotic small subunit ribosomal RNA", at positions 1470 to 1796 of the family's 1831-position model. The record is from RNAcentral.
CCCUUAGACGUUCUGGGCCGCACGCGCGCUACACUGAUCAGUGCAACAAGCAUCCGUCCUUGGCCGACAGGCCCGGGCAAUCUUUGAACGCUGGUCGUGAUGGGGAUAGACUUUUGCAAUUUUUGGUCUUCAACGAGGAAUUCCUAGUAAACGCAAGUCAUCAACUUGCAUUGAUUACGUCCCUGCCCUUUGUACACACCGCCCGUCGCACCUACCGAUUGAAUGGUCCGGUGAAGCCUCCGGAUUGGCGCGCACCUCGGUGCCGCCGAGAAGUUGGCUAAACCUUACCAUUUAGAGGAAGGUGAAGUCGUAACA